UGUCCUUUUCAACCGAGGCCAUUCUAUGAUUCUAUGUUAUUGCAUGCAUUUUUUUGUGCUAAGAGAUACUAUUCCAAAAAGUGGCACUGUACAUAGGAAACCUUUUAAAAACCAAACCAGGGACAACUCAGCUCUUUGGCACCUGCAGUUACCUGCAGAGCAUUCAAACGUUCCCCUGCACUGUGCUCCCACUUCCCCUUUCCUUUCUCCAUGCAGGUAGGUUCCUGACUGACCUGUCACGUGGGAAUAAUGAUAAGAGGUCUCAGUGAUUCACAGCUAGGACGUGAGGAGCGCACGGCUCUUUGCUCGCGCUGUGAGGCAGUUAGUGCAAUUUGUGCUGUGUGGCUGAGCGAGCAGUUAGAACUGAAGCACGGAGCCAUCUGUUCCUCCAGCUGACGGCAGGCAUGGCGGGUAGCAGCUCGCUUCUGCUGGGAAGAAACAUCUCACUGGCAUCAGGGAAAGGUCAGGAAAGUUUUGUUCUCUCCAUCUUUAUUACAAAUUCUUUUGGAUUUUCUUUAGGCGCAGGCUGUGUGCUCCAGAGACUUUUUUGGUCCGUGAUCAGCAUGUUGGGAAGAGGGAAAUGGAAACAUGGCUGCAUUGAGCACCUUCUUUUUUCGUUUCCUACCCAGUUUUGGGGGACACCCAUCAGAGUGAGCUUUACACAAUUGUUUUGCACUUCCCUUGCUUUGAUCACCUCAAAAUGCUUCUUUAAUUGAGCCGAAGGCCACAAGAAAUAACUUCCCUUGAAAUCAGCUCUUAGAAGCAUUUUAAGAACGUAUUCUGGGUGCCAUUUUUCAUUCAUGGCAAUUACUAGAUUUCUGCUACACCAAAAAGCCAUUAUCUCAUUAGUAACAGGAAGACCAGGAAAAGGUCUGGCCUGCUUCUCAGUGAAGAAGAAGAGCUUAUUACAGAUGAUAUUGAGAAACUGGGCAUCUGGUGCCUCUUAUGCAUUUGUCCUUACUGAAAAAGAGAUACAUGGAACAGAUGGCUUGUGCAGCUAACAUGAGCAGGAAAGGAAUAAGGUGAGCCUAAGACAGGGAGAGAACAACCUGGGGAAGACUUGAGACAAUUGUUUUAAGGUGAGCCAGGCCUGACUGUCUGCACCUCUGUGUGCACAGGGAAUUGUCAGAAGCAAUCUCAGGAGUUCUGGUAGGAAUUUCUGAAAGCUGGUUGUGGACAGGCAAGGUACUAGCAGGCUGGGAAAAGUGGGAGGUAGAGCUUCUCUUUAAGAGCAUGGAUUUGGGAGUAGAGCCAAGUUAGAGUUUUAUAACACAGUAUAUAUCAGAUAAAAACUUCAAAAACUAUAUCAAACAAAGCUCAUUUGUUUUUAGGAGUAGCCAGAGGAUGUUGAUGUUCUCUAACUUGAUUUGCAGAUCUGUGAUGCUGUGGCACAAUGUUCCUAUUAGAAAAGCAAGAAAAGUACUAAAGGUCAUGAAGAAAAAGGUUUGAUGGCAGACUACGUGGAUAAUAUACUUGGAGGGCUGCUGUCACAGCUUUCUAUUAUAGGCUGUUCUCAAGCAAAUCUUUUAAUGGUUUUACAGAUAACUAGUGCUGGUCAAAGAAGCAUGUUUGUCUACUGUAGCAGAAAUGCUAAGUCACUGCUUGAAGCAGUGAUUGAGUACCUGUUAGGAAAGCAGGACCAAUCUAUGGGAGCUCAGGUGCAAGCAAUGUGCCUGGGAGACUGCGCUUGGUGGAGUCAGGAUCCACUCCUUUUCAGACCUCAUUUAAGGGUUGGCAGUGGAAGCAAGAGUGUUGUGCUGGAGAUCCCUGCAUACCUGAGGCUUCUAAGGGAAGCAAACCUGUUUCCUCAGAAUUCAUCGUGGAACUGACUGGAAGAAUGUGAUGGUCCUGCUGACCCACCCCAGAGACCUUCCUGUAUAGCUGUGGGAAGCCUGCAAAGGGGAGUUCUGCAGGGUUAGAAGAAGAGCGCAGAAGGCAUCUGGGGUGGGACAGCAUCUGCAGAUCCUUGGAGGCUGCUCUGAGUCCAGGAGGUGAUGAAGGUCGGAAGCAGUGAUGAGGGAGACGAAGGACCUGAGACAGGUGGGACAACGCUCUCAGGAAUAAGGUUUGAAUUUUGUCUGGUCCUGUGUGUUGGGCUCCAUGAUCCUUGUGAUUCUGUCAGGGGAAGGAGCAACCAGUUGGGCAGGAGCUGGAGGCAGGAAGGUGUGAGGGGAGGAUGUGAGCCACAGCAAAGAACCUCCACGGUCCAAUUCCCACCAGUCAGCAACCUGAUCCCCUCAAAAAGAGCUACGUACAGUACCACAACGUUAACCCCCUCUAAAUUCAUCUCAUCCCUUUUAGCCUUACGUUUACUUCAAGCAUUUGUGGAAGACGAUUAUGAAUGUGAAGAUGUCACGUUCGUCUGAAGAUACCUAGCGUGCUUGUGAACAUGAUUACUGUUUUAUGCCCCUAAAACCAUAGGAAAUCAGACACUAUGGUUACAAAAUGUUAAAGUGGGAAACAAAAGGCACUAAAAAGUGAGAAUUCCAGAGUCUUUAUUCUCUACAAAACCGGAUUGACUCUCAGAUGCCAUCUGCCCAGUGCACCCAGUCAGUCAGAGAUGGGACGGGAGGGAGCAGCCUCAGUGAUCACGCAGCGAUCACGCAGUGAUCGUGCAUCGCAGAGCAGUGCAGAGGGGUAACUAAUUCUGACAUAUGCUGUCUUGCAAUAGCUUUGCUUAGCAAAAGGAGGAUAUUUUCAGCACUGUCACUGGAACGUGCAAGCAUUCACACCUGCACAGGCAGGAGUGCAGCACACCUGGCUCAGGUGCUGCACGUGGAGUCAAUGGAACCACGGUCAGAUGGAAACUAACACUUCAGCGUUGUUUGGCUAGACCAGCUAUUGGGAAAAUAAUAAUUUUCCCCCAAAGGCGGAAAUCGCUUUAUUUGUCGGGAGAAGGAAUCAAUCUUUUAACUACACAGCUGUAAGGGCGUAGGGAGAGAGGUCACGUGUACCCCCUACCCCACUGUGGGAAGCCCCCCCCC
Molecule: non-coding RNA, 2984 nt
Organism: Meleagris gallopavo (turkey)
Lineage: Eukaryota; Metazoa; Chordata; Aves; Galliformes; Phasianidae
Source: RefSeq, a predicted model, not a curated record